This 638-nucleotide long non-coding RNA is filed under the name Gorilla gorilla gorilla (western lowland gorilla). RNAcentral describes it as "lncRNA (ENSGGOG00000044533.1)". Lineage: Eukaryota; Metazoa; Chordata; Mammalia; Primates; Hominidae. The record is from RNAcentral.
GGUUGUUUAAGUCAUGUGAUUUUGCUGAACACUGAGGAGGAGAGCAGGAGCAAGACGCUUGUGUGGGCUUAAAGGUAGAGAUGAGAAUUGAGUGAACAUCAUCCUGGAGCCCAUGGGUGUCAUGGCAGAGGCAACAGUGCGGAAAGAGGCAACUAUUCCAGGAGGCAGGAGAAUCUUGGCACAACAAUGGCAAUUUCCCAGCAUACUCCUUCAUUUCUGCUGAGCACUGAUUGUUGGAGAACUUUUAAUGAAGUCCAUUAUCAUUUUGGCAGUUCAACAAGACUUCCAGGAGAGAAACAGAGAGCAUGGUCUCCCCUCAACGCAAAAGAUACACAAAGAGAGCUGGAGUCAAUGCUGGAGUGCAAAAGGAGAAGCUUUUUUUGGUCUCUGAGGGCUCAUUUAUCUUCAUAUCCCCAUUGCCUACAUACUACCAAGCACUCUGAAUCAACUUUAAUUGCACUUACUUCCAUUUGUAAUCAUGUUUCUAUUUUUGAUUAUGUGGUUGAUAUCAUGAAGACAAGGAUCACGUGCAUUUUGCUAUGUAUUUGUAUGCCCUCUGCCUCACAAAAUGACUUGCCCAUGGCUGUGCUUCAAUAAAUAGAUGACCACUAACCAUGUAGUGAAUAAAUACAGUUCAC